GAGUAGCCAUUCUGCUGUGAAUAGCACACAGACGAAGCGCUGGGGCUUUAUCGGUGAGGAAUCGAUAUCAAGAGAUUUCGGAGGAACAAGUUUUGUUUCUUGGAGCUGCUGCUGAUCGUUUGUCUCGGUGCUCCA
This is a small nuclear RNA of Carcharodon carcharias (great white shark), 135 nucleotides long. RefSeq annotates it as U11 spliceosomal RNA. NCBI's taxonomy places the organism in Eukaryota, Metazoa, Chordata, Chondrichthyes, Lamniformes, Lamnidae. The transcript has a single exon. The record is from RefSeq and is a predicted model, not a curated record.